AGUCGAGCGGCAGCGCGGGGCAACCUGGCGGCGAGCGGCGAACGGGUGAGUAAUACAUCGGAACGUGCCCAAGUGUGGGGGAUAGCCCGGCGAAAGCCGGAUUAAUACCGCAUACGAUCUAAGGAUGAAAGCGGGGGAUCGCAAGACCUCGCGCACUUGGAGCGGCUGAUGGCAGAUUAGGUAGUUGGUGGGGUAAAGGCCUACCAAGCCUACGAUCUGUAGCUGGUCUGAGAGGACGACCAGCCACACUGGGACUGAGACACGGCCCAGACUCCUACGGGAGGCAGCAGUGGGGAAUUUUGGACAAUGGGCGAAAGCCUGAUCCAGCCAUUCCGCGUGCAGGAUGAAGGCCCUCGGGUUGUAAACUGCUUUUGUACAGAACGAAAAGGCUCUGGUUAAUACCUGGGGCUCAUGACGGUACUGUAAGAAUAAGCACCGGCUAACUACGUGCCAGCAGCCGCGGUAAUACGUAGGGUGCAAGCGUUAAUCGGAAUUACUGGGCGUAAAGCGUGCGCAGGCGGUUUUGUAAGACAGAGGUGAAAUCCCCGGGCUCAACCUGGGAACUGCCUUUGUGACUGCAAGGCUGGAGUACGGCAGAGGGGGAUGGAAUUCCGCGUGUAGCAGUGAAAUGCGUAGAUAUGCGGAGGAACACCGAUGGCGA
Molecule: ribosomal RNA, 661 nt
Filed under: uncultured Comamonadaceae bacterium
Lineage: Bacteria; Pseudomonadati; Pseudomonadota; Betaproteobacteria; Burkholderiales; Comamonadaceae
Description: bacterial SSU rRNA
Rfam family: Bacterial small subunit ribosomal RNA
Source: RNAcentral